CGCCGAUAUUCGCUUGGAAUUGUUUCUUCAUCGUCCUGCACGUGUCACUUGUGCAGUUGUAAGGCGAACAAACUAUCUUACACCUCCAACCUGCCAGGUAGAGGGAAAUUAGUAAAUCACAUCACGAUGUGGGAAUUACUAUUUUGGGAUCUGCUAGGCAGGGAAAAAAAGAAAAUGAAAAAGAGAAGAGAACUACUCAAGAUCAGAGGCAACCUAACUGCUGAGAGAACCGAUUUCUUGAGGAAAAUGCAUUCGCAUGUGAUUUGUGAUCUACAAGAGGAAGGCCAGAGAUUGGAUUUUUAUGUUGAAGAAAAAGAGCUUAUAAGUGAAGUGAGCGUGCCAGGGUCAGAAAGCACUCUAAGGAUAAGCACUGAAGUUUGCAGAGCUGUUCUUUUCAAGAUAAUCAAAAGGUUCCAAUCCAUGCACUCUGCUGGAUUCAGUCUAGGUGGGUUUGAACACAAAAUUCUGUUUGUCACGUCAGAUUUUGAGGUGAAAAUUGGUGGUAUUAGUAGAGUGAAAGAUUUCACCAAGACAAGAGGAUCGAAGGAUUACAAGAGCAUCGGAAAAAUUGCCCGGGAAGUGAUAUUCUCAUCAGUGACAAAUUUGCCGGUUGAUAUCGAGCAACUACUUGACCUUUUGACCGACAAUCCUAUGGAGCAAACAGCCCUUUUGGGCAUGCACUACUCUUUAUUGGACCCAUUGACUCAAGUAUCUGAGUUCCUUUGGUGGCACAAGCGCCUCAUUCACCUCAAAGACAUAAAUCCAGAAAAGUUUCAAAGAAUCAUGGAAAACAUCCCAACUGGUAACAAUUGGAUGAGUCGGGCGGUGGAGAAUAAGUACAUAAGAAAGGUUUCACUGGGCAUUCCUAAGAGGAGAAAGGGAUUAGUACAUACCACCGAGGAAGUGAAGCCUGAAACAACAGCGGCAAGUCAAGGUACUGGUAUUGAGGGAGUAAAACCAAAAACUGCAGUUGGCCAGGAUACCAAUAUUGAGGACCCAAAACCUGAAACUGCAACACCAAAAUGCAAGUACUCGGAAGAUUCAUGGGGGCAGAGUUUGUUGUGUAGGAACUCAAUAGAACACCUGGACAGAUGGGCAGCAUUGAGAAGGAUCAAAAAAAAAGAAAUCAGGUGGCAAGAUAAGAACGGUAAAAGUUCAAUUCGAGGAAAUGGGCAGAUGCUAUAUCAUAAUACAAGCAUUCUCUAA
RNAcentral lists this long non-coding RNA (1206 nucleotides) under Oryza sativa Indica Group (long-grained rice). RNAcentral describes it as "lncRNA OsZS97_01G043530". Lineage: Eukaryota; Viridiplantae; Streptophyta; Magnoliopsida; Poales; Poaceae. The record is from RNAcentral.